This 599-nucleotide ribosomal RNA is filed under the name uncultured bacterium. RNAcentral's name for it is "bacterial SSU rRNA". It matches the Rfam family "Bacterial small subunit ribosomal RNA", at positions 338 to 947 of the family's 1533-position model. The record is from RNAcentral.
CCUACGGGAGGCAGCAGUGGGGAAUAUUGGGCAAUGGAGGAAACUCUGACCCAGCGACGCCGCGUGCGGGAUGAAGGCCUUCGGGUUGUAAACCGCUUUCAGCAGGGAAGAAGCGAAAGUGACGGUACCUGCAGAAGAAGCACCGGCUAACUAUGUGCCAGCAGCCGCGGUAAUACAUAGGGUGCAAGCGUUGUCCGGAAUUAUUGGGCGUAAAGAGCUCGUAGGUGGUUCGUCACGUCGGAUGUGAAAAUCUGGGGCUUAACCCCAGACCUGCAUUCGAUACGGGCGAGCUUGAGUAUGGUAGGGGAGUCUGGAAUUCCUGGUGUAGCGGUGGAAUGCGCAGAUAUCAGGAGGAACACCAAUGGCGAAGGCAGGACUCUGGGCCAUUACUGACACUGAGGAGCGAAAGCGUGGGGAGCGGAACAGGAUUAGGAUACCCUGGUAGUCCACGCCGUAAACGGUGGGCACUAGUUGUGGGGACCUUCCACGGUCUCUGCGACGCAGCUAACGCAUUAAGUGCCCGCCUGGGGAGUACGAUCGCAAGNUUAAAACUCAAAUGAAUUGAGGCUGAGACGNGCGAGACGACGACGAGGGAGAGG